This 726-nucleotide ribosomal RNA is filed under the name uncultured archaeon. RNAcentral describes it as "bacterial SSU rRNA". It matches the Rfam family "Archaeal small subunit ribosomal RNA", at positions 83 to 608 of the family's 1478-position model. The record is from RNAcentral.
GUACAGCUCAGUAACACGUGGCUAACCUACCCUUGGGACGGGAACACUCCCGGGAAACCACGCACAGACCUUGACCACAUAAACACAAAUUCUCAAAAAAUCCAAAAACCCCAUAACAUAAACAAACACUUCACUACACCGCCUUGCCGAUUUCUAAGCUGGCAAAGGCUAUCUCAAACUAACCAAAACCUACACGCAACUUUCUAAGAAUAGAAACUUAAGGCUCUGGCGUAGCCCAAAACUGGGGUUAAUUCCCGAUGGGUGAGGAGGCCUGGAAUGGUUCUUCACUGAAAGGGCGCUAGAGGCAUGCUCUCUAACGUUGCCCAAGGAUGGGGCCGCGGCCGAUCAGGUUGUUGGUGAGGUAACGGCUUACCAAGCCUAUAACCGGUACGGGCCGUGAGAGCGGAAGCCCGGAGAUGGGCACUGAGAUAAGGGCCCAGGCCCUACGGGGCGCAGCAGUUGCGAAAACUCCGCAAUGCACGAAAGUGUGACGGGGCUACCCCGAGUGCCGUCCGCUGAGGAUGGCUUUUCUCCGCUGUAAGGAGGCGGAGGAAUAAGGAGAGGGCAAGACUGGUGUCAGCCGCCGCGGUAAUACCAGCUCUCCGAGUGGUAGGGGUGAUUAUUGGGCUUAAAGCGUCCGUAGCCGGCCUGGCAAGUCUUCCGUUAAAUCCAGCAACCUAAUUGUUGGGCUGCGGGGGAUACUGUUAGGCUUGGGGGCGGGAGAGG